RNAcentral lists this ribosomal RNA (273 nucleotides) under uncultured Staphylococcus sp. RNAcentral describes it as "partial 16S ribosomal RNA". It matches the Rfam family "Bacterial small subunit ribosomal RNA", at positions 89 to 355 of the family's 1533-position model. Lineage: Bacteria; Bacillati; Bacillota; Bacilli; Caryophanales; Staphylococcaceae. The record is from RNAcentral.
AUGUUAGCGGCGGACGGGUGAGUAACACGUGGGUAACCUACCUAUAAGACUGGGAUAACUCCGGGAAACCGGGGCUAAUACCGGAUAAUAUUUUGAACCGCAUGGUUCAAUAGUGAAAGACGGUUUCGGCUGUCACUUAUAGAUGGACCCGCGCCGUAUUAGCUAGUUGGUAAGGUAACGGCUUACCAAGGCGACGAUACGUAGCCGACCUGAGAGGGUGAUCGGCCACACUGGAACUGAGACACGGUCCAGACUCCUACGGAGGCAGCAGUC